AUAUCAAUAAGCGGAGGAAAAGAAACCAACAGGGAUUCCCCUAGUAACGGCGAGUGAAGAGGGAAAAGCUCAAAUUUAAAAUCUCACUGGUUUCCAGUGCGAAUUGUAGUUUCAAGAAGCGUUUUCUGGGAUGUUCUGAGCUCAAGUCCGCUGGAAUGCGGCGCCAUAGAGGGUGAGAGCCCCGUUGAGCAUGGAAUUCAUUCCUGUAUGAUACGUCUUCAAAGAGUCGGAUAGUUUGGGAAUGCUGUCCAAAAUGGGUGGUAAAUACCAUCUAAAGCUAAAUAUUGGCAUGAGACCGAUAGCGCACAAGUA
This 312-nucleotide ribosomal RNA is filed under the name uncultured Chytridiomycetes. Its description in RNAcentral is "partial large subunit ribosomal RNA". It matches the Rfam family "Eukaryotic large subunit ribosomal RNA", at positions 40 to 350 of the family's 3401-position model. Lineage: Eukaryota; Fungi; Chytridiomycota; Chytridiomycetes. The record is from RNAcentral.